Molecule: long non-coding RNA, 2306 nt
Organism: Scatophagus argus
Lineage: Eukaryota; Metazoa; Chordata; Actinopteri; Scatophagidae
Exons: 2
Source: RefSeq, a predicted model, not a curated record
GGUAAGUGCAAUGAACCAAACGAGACAUCUUUGUGCAAGCUGAGCUGUCUUCACGGAGACACUGGACAGCCGUCAGACAUCACGACAUCACAGCCCGAGGAAGCGCGUCGAGUGUUAAUUGCUUAAUUAUCCCCACCUGUGGGCCUGUCUGCGCGUGCUGCAGCACGUAGCCAUGCGUGUGAGGCUUCCGUUUCACACUCCAGUGGAAAAGCCGAGCGCUUCUGUGGUUGCUCUUCAGUCCGUGCAGACGGCACGUCAGGAUUUCGCUGAGUCUUGUUUCCCCAACAUUUUACCAUGUGUGGCUGUUGUGGUCAGGAUAAUUGGGGGGUUAAGUGGUUGACCUUAAUUCAGUGGGGUGUCUUCAUGUCUGUGGAACUGAUGUAAUUACACAUGAGUGGUUUAAAUGAUUAAAAUUGCCUGGUCUUUAAUUUGAUUUGCGUUUUCUUUGCUGUGAUUUCCCAUAAGAAUCAACACUGAAAAUGGCUGACAGCGAUUUGAGAUAAAUAUUUAAAAACCACACUGGGAAUUGUUGCCUUUUUGUUGUUGUUUUCAAGGGGCACUCUGAUGGUGAGUCAGCAACAUGUUUGAAACGUGUUGUUGGCAUCCGACAUAAGCACACGUUGACCUUAAUAAGUGAGGCUGAGGUGAAAACAUUCUGGUCAGAAAGGAGCAUCACAUUGUGUUGUAUUUUCCACAGCAUCACCACUUGUUUUGGGAUCACUUCCCUCAGCGCCAGGAUAUUUUCUGCUCUGCUGAAAAUUUGAUUUGAUUUCAUGAUUUUGACCAAUAUUUUAAAUAUAUAUAUAUACAUAUCUCCUCUGAAACCCCCAGCUCUGAUGGGACUCUUGACAGGUGCAGCUUCUCGUGUACAUCCGUAAAUAAAUGCAUAUGCAUAUCAAACCGCGUCAGCAUCACUGCGAUCCAGAGCGUAAAGCUUCAGUGAGGACUGAAACGAACCACCUCCCGCUCUGUUUCUGACACCUCUAACUGUUGAGUGAAGACGAGGGUCAAGCGCGGGUUUACCUGUUUGAAUCUGAGAAGGAGGGAGCCGCUCUACAGUGAGCAGCUGUGAUGUAAUCUCAGCUGCAUCCGGCCCAGGCUGAGGACAGACCCGGAGCAGAGCACGCGGGGCUCGAGACAGGAUGCGGUGCACAUGCCGAGCAUUCUGCAGGACGGGAGGGCGGACACACCGUGCGGCUCAGUCACAUAUGACAUCUUACUUGGCCGCCUUCACGGACCGCUGACAUGACGCAGGAGGAAAUUCACUAAUCAGAGCUUCGUUGUGAACCAAAGAAUCAGAAUCAGCGCUGCAGUGUGGUCCGAGGAGCCAGGCACCGCGUCGUGGACUGGAGCACACUCAUUCAGCCCUUCUGCCCGUGAACCCCUCCUCCUCAGCGGCCUGUAAAUAUUUACAUGCCGCGUCUGGCAGCUCUUGGAGACGAAGACGGAGGACACCUUGAAGCAGACUGGUUUUGACUUUGUGGCCUUUUCUUUCUUUCUUUUUUCAAACUCGUGGUGACCCUGCGGGCCCUGCGGGCAGGGUUGGGUUUUUGAUGGCUGAAAACAGGAGAGAAGUCGAUCAGUAGCUGCGCUCCUUGUUGCCACUUUGUGCUUCGCCUGCCUGCUUUUUCCUCCUCUGGGAAAAAAUCCAAGAUAAACAUUCGAGGGAACCACUUAAUCACCUCCACUCACAUUCACUAAAUCUGUCUUACACUCUACAACCAGGUUGUAAAAGUGAUGAAAAAAGAGAUGCAGCUCCAUAUAUCAAAAAUAUGAUCAGAUAUACUACUCAGCAUAUUUUAAAGAUGUACUGUAGGUCAAGAUGUUAGCUCUCACCAUGUGUGUUAUGUUGCAUUAGCCGUAGGAGUUUGUAUUAGUGUAUUACAAGAUGCAAAAUAUAUCGGUGAGGAUGUGUGUGUAACUGUGUUGACACCUGCAUAACGUUUACACACACACAAACACACACAAACACGCGCUAUGGGCUGCGUCAUGUGCUCUCAGCUGGUGGACAUGUGGGCUGUGAGAGCGAGCAGGACCAGACGCAGGGCCAUGGAGCUCACGGCGUACCCACAGACCCUCCAGGGAGGCUACCACAGAGUCACGGGCCUCCACUACAUGUCCUCCUUCUCCGACGCCGAGGACUGCUGCGACGACACCAGCUCGGGCAGCUCGCUCACCUCGGACUGGCAGCCUCAGGCCGCCGACGGCUGACGCUCGAAACAAGACGCGUCAUGACGCCGACGUGUACGCAACCACGAUGAGAUACGCAGGAAACGUGCUGUGUUUGCAAUAAACCAUGUGAGGGA